GAUGAAGAACGCAGCGAAAUGCGAUACGUAAUGUGAAUUGCAAAUUCAGUGAAUCAUCGAGUCUUUGAACGCACAUUGCGCCCCCUGGUAUUCCGGGGGGCAUGCAUGUCCGAGCGUCAUUGCUGCCCUCAAGCACGGCUUGUGUGUUGGGCCCCGUCCUCCGAUCCCGGGGGACGGGCCCGAAAGGCAGCGGCGGCACCGCGUCCGGUCCUCGAGCGUAUGGGGCUUUGUCACCCGCUCUGUAGGCCCGGCCGGCGCUUGCCGAUCAACCCAAAUUUUUAUCCAGGUUGACCUCGGAUCAGGUAGGGAUACCCGCUGAACUUAAGCAUAUCAAUAAGCGGAGGA
This 345-nucleotide unclassified non-coding RNA is filed under the name soil metagenome. RNAcentral's name for it is "partial contains 5.8S ribosomal RNA, internal transcribed spacer 2, and large subunit ribosomal RNA". The stretch from base 1 to 119 matches the Rfam family "5.8S ribosomal RNA", at positions 35 to 154 of the family's 154-position model. The record is from RNAcentral.